RNAcentral lists this transfer RNA (56 nucleotides) under Protostrongylus rufescens. RNAcentral describes it as "tRNA-Ser". The record is from RNAcentral. Lineage: Eukaryota; Metazoa; Nematoda; Chromadorea; Rhabditida; Metastrongylidae.
AUCUAUUUAUAAGUUGUUUUGAAAACAAUUUUUAAGAAUUUAAUUCUUGUAGUUUU